RNAcentral lists this ribosomal RNA (763 nucleotides) under uncultured Streptococcus sp. RNAcentral describes it as "bacterial SSU rRNA". It matches the Rfam family "Bacterial small subunit ribosomal RNA", at positions 28 to 776 of the family's 1533-position model. Lineage: Bacteria; Bacillati; Bacillota; Bacilli; Lactobacillales; Streptococcaceae. The record is from RNAcentral.
GACGAACGCUGGCGGCGUGCCUAAUACAUGCAAGUAGAACGCUGAAGGAGGAGCUUGCUUCUCUGGAUGAGUUGCGAACGGGUGAGUAACGCGUAGGUAACCUGCCUGGUAGCGGGGGAUAACUAUUGGAAACGAUAGCUAAUACCGCAUAAGAGUAGAUGUUGCAUGACAUUUGCUUAAAAGGUGCAAUUGCAUCACUACCAGAUGGACCUGCGUUGUAUUAGCUAGUUGGUGAGGUAACGGCUCACCAAGGCGACGAUACAUAGCCGACCUGAGAGGGUGAUCGGCCACACUGGGACUGAGACACGGCCCAGACUCCUACGGGAGGCAGCAGUAGGGAAUCUUCGGCAAUGGACGGAAGUCUGACCGAGCAACGCCGCGUGAGUGAAGAAGGUUUUCGGAUCGUAAAGCUCUGUUGUAAGAGAAGAACGAGUGUGAGAGUGGAAAGUUCACACUGUGACGGUAUCUUACCAGAAAGGGACGGCUAACUACGUGCCAGCAGCCGCGGUAAUACGUAGGUCCCGAGCGUUGUCCGGAUUUAUUGGGCGUAAAGCGAGCGCAGGCGGUUAGAUAAGUCUGAAGUUAAAGGCUGUGGCUUAACCAUAGUACGCUUUGGAAACUGUUUAACUUGAGUGCAAGAGGGGAGAGUGGAAUUCCAUGUGUAGCGGUGAAAUGCGUAGAUAUAUGGAGGAACACCGGUGGCGAAAGCGGCUCUCUGGCUUGUAACUGACGCUGAGGCUCGAAAGCGUGGGGAGCAAACAGG